UACGUAGGGGGCAAGCGUUGUCCGGAAUUAUUGGGCGUAAAGAGCGCGUAGGCGGUCCGAUAAGUCGGCUGUGAAAGUCAGGGGCUCAACCCUUGAAAGCCGGCCGAUACUGUCGGACUAGAGUCCGGAAGAGGCAAGUGGAAUUCCCGGUGUAGCGGUGAAAUGCGCAGAUAUCAGGAGGAACACCGAUGGCGAAGGCAGGUCACUGGGCCUUACCUGACGCUGAGGAGCGAAAGCGUGGGGAGCGAACAGG
RNAcentral lists this ribosomal RNA (253 nucleotides) under uncultured bacterium. Its description in RNAcentral is "partial 16S ribosomal RNA". It matches the Rfam family "Bacterial small subunit ribosomal RNA", at positions 524 to 776 of the family's 1533-position model. The record is from RNAcentral.